Molecule: RNA transcript, 971 nt
Organism: Lycium ferocissimum
Lineage: Eukaryota; Viridiplantae; Streptophyta; Magnoliopsida; Solanales; Solanaceae
Exons: 3
Source: RefSeq, a predicted model, not a curated record
AAUCAGGAAGACUAUUUAUCCUUUUCCCUGUUUUUUAGCCUUUUAAUUUACUUUUCCAAUUCAAGUUAAUAUACAAAAUUCCAAAAGUCACGAUUAAUUAAUGUGGAUUAACAACCGCUCCAGAAAACCCCAAAAGCCGCAUUACCUUGCUCACUUAAUAUGGAGUAACAAUCGCUCACCCCUCCAGAAACUCUCGAAAGCCUCAUUACAUUGCCGUCGCUUAAUUUCGAAGGUCUUUGUGAAACGCUUCGUAACGUCACUGUUAAACACAUUACUGAUCUUUCACUUCUAUCAGGUAAAUCUGCCUUCCUCUUUUCCUCUUUUUCAUCUUCUGUUUCCGAUUAUUCUUUUUCCUAUCACUCACCAAAGAUGAUUUCGUUCUGUUUGUUUUGUUUCUUACAAUAUUCAAGGCAAAUAUCUUUUUAAUUAUUUUCAAAUAUCGUUCUUCCCAUCAUGGUUUAGUAGGUAUUUCAUCUUUCUUCUGAUCCCAAUCGCUGCGUCAUGUUAGCAAUCAAUUUCCCAGGUAAAUCUCUUUCUAAUUAUCCUUUGAAUACAUUUCUUCCCUUCGUUAGGUGUUUUACAGAAUAAAUUAAUCGCAGUUCUGAAUUUUUAAACAGUAUGAAAUUGAAUUUUUAUUGUUUUUUUGCUCUUUUCCUUAUCAUCGAGGGGCUUAUACUGGUCACACUGGGCGACAUUCAUUGGACCGUGUAUUAACAGUGUACGGAGCGAUGAGUCGGAGCAGAAUCGCUUCUUCUUGUUUAUAUUUUGGAUGCAGAAGAAAGUACAAAAUAAGGAGAUGCAAAGCAACAGACUCAUUGGUAGUUUUGAGUCGAGUUAUGAAGGGAUGACAAGGAGAUGCAAAGCAGAAUAAAAGGAAGUAAGCAAUAAUGAGAUGCAAAGCCAACAUGAUUGGUAGUUUUGAGGCGAGUAGUGAAAGGAUCAAGAUUGCUGACAUCCUAAUCUUAUGAAAU